GAUGAACGCUGGCGGCGUGCCUAAUACAUGCAAGUCGAGCGAACAGAUGAGGAGCUUGCUCCUCUGACGUUAGCGGCGGACGGGUGAGCAACACGUGGAUAACCUACCUAUAAGACUGGGAUAACUUCGGGAAACCGGAGCUAAUACCGGAUAAUAUAUUGAACCGCAUGGUUCAAUAGUGAAAGACGGUUUUGCUGUCACUUAUAGAUGGAUCCGCGCCGCAUUAGCUAGUUGGUAAGGUAACGGCUUACCAAGGCAACGAUGCGUAGCCGACCUGAGAGGGUGAUCGGCCACACUGGAACUGAGACACGGUCCAGACUCCUACGGGAGGCAGCAGUAGGGAAUCUUCCGCAAUGGGCGAAAGCCUGACGGAGCAACGCCGCGUGAGUGAUGAAGGUCUUCGGAUCGUAAAACUCUGUUAUUAGGGAAGAACAAAUGUGUAAGUAACUAUGCACGUCUUGACGGUACCUAAUCAGAAGGCCACGGCUAACUACGUG
Molecule: ribosomal RNA, 497 nt
Filed under: uncultured bacterium
Lineage: Bacteria
Description: partial 16S ribosomal RNA
Rfam family: Bacterial small subunit ribosomal RNA
Source: RNAcentral